Long non-coding RNA from Dunckerocampus dactyliophorus (ringed pipefish), 1523 nucleotides. RefSeq lists it as uncharacterized. The transcript is spliced from 3 exons. The record is from RefSeq and is a predicted model, not a curated record. Lineage: Eukaryota; Metazoa; Chordata; Actinopteri; Syngnathiformes; Syngnathidae.
UUCAUCCGUUUAAUUAAUUAAUUUCCGGAUCAUGGCGGUGAAGAGCCGCUGAGACGAGGUGGCUCUUUGCAGUACCCUCAGGAGGAUCCUAGGCAGUUUAGAGGACUGGACUCACUGUUGGGGAGAUGAGCUGAUGUCAAAGUCUCCGAUGGUUAUACUGCGGCCAAAGGUGACAUAUCAUCUCUCAGUGUCCUGUUUGACUUCGGGGUUUAGUUCCAUCUUCAGUGGGCACCCUUGUAAGCGGCUACACCUCUUUGGACUCUCUGACUGGCAGACUUCAAUUACAAGGUACUCUUACUUGGGCUGGAAAGGUAGUGGAUAUUGAAGCGCGUAUGGACUCUGCCGCUGAUAAUUGUUUUGCGCACUGUGAUUUUUCUACAUUAUUUUCAAUGCCUUUGUCCCGAUUAAUUGAACCUAAAUGGGUUAGAUCACUCGAAGGGCAUUCAGCCUGGCCACAAUAGCACAUCAGACUUUAGCCAUCUCCUUACAGUUGUCAGGCAACCAUUUUGAGACCAUUGCAGUAUUUUUUUUUGUCAUAUCCUCACACAAUGCAGCCAAAGUCCUUGGGCUUGCAUGGCUCGUUAAACACAGUCCUAACAAUAAUUGGUCCGAAUCUGCUCUAGUUAGUUGGUGCCUACACAUCGGCUGCCAAGAAGAGGCUUCAUAUAGUACAGUAAAAAAGUUAAUUUUGCUAAACAUUUUUUACCUACUUUAAUUUCCUGACUAUACAGCACACCCAUAUUUAAGUCGCACCUACUAAAUUUAAAGAAAAAUCUAUAAGUUGCUAUAAGGUGUCCACGUCAUAACAUGGGAUACUAGCACACAGAAAGAUGUUACACAGACAGAUUUUUUAAACUUUUAAUUAAACAAAUGUUUUUUCUAAACAUUGCUAAACAGUGCUAAACAGUGCGUGUAAAACGACUAGUUAAACAGCAGCCCAUCAGAAAAGUCCUUCAUCGCUGUCCUCGCCCUUCUCCUGGCAACUAAAACCACUAAAGUCGUCCUCUUCAAGUGUUGGAACCAAACAGCCCCACAAUUCCCUCAGCACACACACCGCCAGUCUCUCUCCUUCUUUUGUUGUCGCUACCAGCGUCACCCCCGCCCUGAGGCAAAUCAGCCCCCGAACCCAUACUGUCCUCUCCAACACGCAACAGUCCAGCCCCCUGAAACCUGCCGGUGACAGUGAACCCCCUGACAUGCCAAGAUCCAUCUGCAGACCCGAGCAAAAGCCGCUAGAUUGAUCACCAUCAACGUGAAAGCCGCAUCACAUGCACCUCUCCACAUGUUUUUCAUGGGGGGAGCGCACAAGGGCCGACAGGCAGAGAGAAAGACAACAACACCAACUUAUCAACAGCCCAAUUGCUACAACAAUCACAUAACCCGAAAACGGAAGUGAAAACCCUCACCCCAAGGCACGACCCCUUGAUGCCAUCUGAUGCUGUCUGCAGUCGGCACCAGUAAGGGCCUUAAUUUGUGUGGAAGACCGCCCUCUGUCUUGAUGGACAGCCAAUCGGAUCCUCCGG